AGCAGCCGCGGUAAUUCCAGCUCCAAUAGCGUAUAUUAAAGUUGUUGCAGUUAAAAAGCUCGUAGUUGAAUUUCGGGAUUGGCGCAUCGGUCGUGCCUCACGGGGUAUGAACUGGUGCAGUCAAUUUCUCACCUUCUGGAGAACCGCGAUGUCCUUAAUUGGAUGCCGCGGGGAACCAGGACCUUUACUUUGAAAAAAUUAGAGUGUUUAAAGCAGGCAUUUUUGCUUGAAUACAUUAGCAUGGAAUAAUAAAAUAGGACGGCAUGGUUCUAUUUUGUUGGUUUCUAGGACCACCGUAAUGAUUAAUAGGGAUAGUUGGGGGCAUUAGUAUUCAAUUGUCAGAGGUGAAAUUCUUGGAUUUAUUGAAGACUAACUACUGCGAAAGCAUUUGCCAAGGAUGUUUUCAUUAAUCAAGAACGAAAGUUAGGGGAUCGAAGGCGAUCAGAUACCGUCGUAGUCUUAACCAUAAACUAUGCCGACUAGGAAUCAGACGAUGUUAAUUUUUAAUGACUCGUUUGGC
Molecule: ribosomal RNA, 520 nt
Filed under: uncultured Entrophospora
Lineage: Eukaryota; Fungi; Glomeromycota; Glomeromycetes; Entrophosporales; Entrophosporaceae
Description: SSU rRNA
Rfam family: Eukaryotic small subunit ribosomal RNA
Source: RNAcentral